UGAGUACGAGAUGCUACGGCAUCGAAGCAGUCUAUGUCAUACUUCCAAGAAAAGCUUGCACUGUCAUAAACAAAGAAUGCCUGUACCAUAACCGACACAGGUGGGUAGGUAGAGUAUACUAAGGGGCGCGAGAUAACUCUCUCUAAGGAACUCGGCAAAAUGACUCCGUAACUUCGGGAGAAGGAGUGCCUUAUUUCUAAGGUUGCAAUAACAAGAUCCAAGCAACUGUUUACCAAAAACACAGGUCUCCGCUAAGUCGUAAGACGAUGUAUGGGGGCUGACGCCUGCCCAGUGCCAGAAGGUUAAAGAAGUUGGUUAGCAUUAGCGAAGCUGAUAACUGAAGCCCUGGUGAACGGCGGCCGUAACUAUAACGGUCCUAAGGUAGCGAAAUUCCUUGUCGGGUAAGUUCCGACCCGCACGAAAGGCGUAAUGAUUUGGAUACUGUCUCGGAGAGGGGCUCGGUGAAAUAGACUUGUCUGUGAAGAUGCGGACUACCUGCACCUGGACAGAAAGACCCUAUGAAGCUUUACUGUAACUUGAGAUUGAAAUUGGACUUUAUUUGCGCAGUAUAGGUGGGAGGCGUUGAGAAUAAUCUUGCGGGAUUGUUGGAGCCAUCAGUGAGAUACCACUCUUGUAAUGUUAGAUUUCUAACUUUGUAUCAUUAUCUGGUCAAAGAACAGUUUCAGGCGGGCAGUUUGACUGGGGCGGUCGCCUCCCAAAGGGCAACGGAGGCGCACAAAGGUUUCCUCUGAACGGGUAGAAAUCGUAUCUAGAGUGUAAAGGCAUAAGGAAGCUUGACUGUGAGACCUACAAGUCGAGCAGGGACGAAAGUCGGUCUUAGUGAUCUGACGGUGCUGAGUGGAAAGGCCGUCACUCAACGGAUAAAAGUUACUCUAGGAUAACAGGCUGAUCUCCCCCAAGAGUUCACAUCGACGGGGAGGUUUGGCACCUCGAUGUCGGCUCAUCGCAUCCUGGGGCGGUAGUCCGUCCCAAGGGUUGGGCUGUUCGCCCAUGAAAGCGGUACGCGAGCUGGGCUCAGAACGUCGUGAGACAGUUCGGUCCAUAUCCGGUGUAGGCGUUAGAAUAUUGAGAGGAGCCUUCUCUAGUACGAGAGGACCGAGAAGGACAUACCUCUGGUGUACCAGUUAUCGUGCCAACGGUAAACGCUGGGUAGCUAUGUAUGGAGUGGAUAACCGCUGAAAGCAUCUAAGUGGGAAGCCCACCUCAAGAUAAGUAUUCUCA
RNAcentral lists this ribosomal RNA (1242 nucleotides) under metagenome. RNAcentral's name for it is "bacterial LSU rRNA". It matches the Rfam family "Bacterial large subunit ribosomal RNA", at positions 1564 to 2816 of the family's 2925-position model. The record is from RNAcentral.